GGCGGGGUAGCUCAGUUGGUAGAGCGCUGGACUCAUAAUCCAGAUGUCGAUGGUUCGAGUCCAUCCCACCGCAACCA
RNAcentral lists this transfer RNA (77 nucleotides) under Burkholderia ubonensis. RNAcentral describes it as "tRNA-Met". It matches the Rfam family "tRNA". Rfam says of the family: Transfer RNA (tRNA) molecules are approximately 80 nucleotides in length. Their secondary structure includes four short double-helical elements and three loops (D, anti-codon, and T loops). The record is from RNAcentral. Lineage: Bacteria; Pseudomonadati; Pseudomonadota; Betaproteobacteria; Burkholderiales; Burkholderiaceae.